UACGUAGGUGGCGAGCGUUAUCCGGAAUUAUUGGGCGUAAAGAGCGCGCAGGUGGUUGAUUAAGUCUGAUGUGAAAGCCCACGGCUUAACCGUGGAGGGUCGUUGGAAACUGGUCGACUUGAGUGCAGAAGAGGGAAGUGGAAUUCCAUGUGUAGCGGUGAAAUGCGUAGAGAUAUGGAGGAACACCAGUGGCGAAGGCGGCUUCCUGGUCUGUAACUGACACUGAGGCGCGAAAGCGUGGGGAGCAAACAGGAUUAGAUACCCCCGUAGU
This 271-nucleotide ribosomal RNA is filed under the name uncultured prokaryote. Its description in RNAcentral is "partial 16S ribosomal RNA". It matches the Rfam family "Bacterial small subunit ribosomal RNA", at positions 524 to 794 of the family's 1533-position model. The record is from RNAcentral.